Molecule: non-coding RNA, 558 nt
Organism: Poecilia latipinna (sailfin molly)
Lineage: Eukaryota; Metazoa; Chordata; Actinopteri; Cyprinodontiformes; Poeciliidae
Source: the annotation of a RefSeq genome assembly
GAUCAUGUUCCGACUAAUUCUGCUGCAGCUGCUUCUGGCAGCAGGAAGUGUGAGGUGUGAACAGCUGACACAGCCAUCAUCCGUAGUUUUGCAGCACGGCCAGCAGCUAUCCAUCGGCUGUCAGGUCUCUUAUUCUGUGGGUAGCCAUCACACUCAUUGGAUCAGGCAACCACCAGGAAAAGGGCUGGAAUGGAUCGGAGGAGCUCGUGUUGGAUAUGCAACAUACCAGAAAGAAUCUCUAAAGAACAAGUUCAGUUUCAGCUUGGAGUCUUCCAGCAACACAGCGACUCUGAACGGCCUGAAUAUGCAGCCUGAUGAUACUGCUGUGUACUACUGUGCCAGACAGUCACAGUGAUACAAAACAUUAGUGGAGCUGUUCAAAAACCCCACAAAGCCUGAGCACAUGAUGAAGCCAGGAGAGGGAGGCAUUCUCACCAUAUAUGUGAUUUCAAGAGCUUUUGAGAAAUGCUGUCCUCUAAAUGUGCACAGUAAAGGUUGAGAAAUUAAGUUCUUGUUUUAUAACUGGAAAUCACUGAAAUCCAUAUUAUGGACUGAAAG